UAUCGGGAUAGGACUAAGACAUGCUAGUCGAGCGCCUUCAAGCCAUGACGAAGGCGCGGCACACAGCUCAGUAACACGUGGCUAACCUGCCCUCGGGACGAGAACACCCCCGGGAAACUGGGGCUAAUUCUCGAUAGGUGAAGAACUCUGGAAUGAGUCUUCACCCAAAAGACGCUUAGAUCAUGCUUCUAGACGUCGCCCAAGGAUGGGGCCGCGACCGAUCAGGUUGUUGGUGAGGCAACGGCUCACCAAGCCUUUAACCGGUGCGGGCCGUGGGAGCGGGAGCCCGGAGAUGGGCACUGAGACAAGGGCCCAGGCCCUACGGGGCGCAGCAGCCGCGAAAACUUUGCAAUAAGCGAAAGCUUGACAGGGCUAUCCCGAGUGCCAUCCGCUGAGGAAGGCUUUUACCCAGUCUAGUAAGCUGGGGGAAUAAGGAGAGGGCAAGUCUG
This 449-nucleotide ribosomal RNA is filed under the name uncultured archaeon CR-PA6a. Its description in RNAcentral is "bacterial SSU rRNA". It matches the Rfam family "Archaeal small subunit ribosomal RNA", at positions 31 to 454 of the family's 1478-position model. The record is from RNAcentral.